RNAcentral lists this ribosomal RNA (912 nucleotides) under Pseudocercospora vitis. RNAcentral's name for it is "eukaryotic LSU rRNA". It matches the Rfam family "Eukaryotic large subunit ribosomal RNA", at positions 1 to 943 of the family's 3401-position model. The record is from RNAcentral. Lineage: Eukaryota; Fungi; Ascomycota; Dothideomycetes; Mycosphaerellales; Mycosphaerellaceae.
GUUGACCUCGGAUCAGGUAGGGAUACCCGCUGAACUUAAGCAUAUCAAUAAGCGGAGGAAAAGAAACCAACAGGGAUUGCCCUAGUAACGGCGAGUGAAGCGGCAACAGCUCAAAUUUGAAAUCUGGCGCAAGCCCGAGUUGUAAUUUGUAGAGGAUGCUUCUGGGUAGCGGCCGGUCUAAGUUCCUUGGAACAGGACGUCAUAGAGGGUGAGAAUCCCGUAUGUGACUGGCUUGCACCCUCCACGUAGCUCCUUCGACGAGUCGAGUUGUUUGGGAAUGCAGCUCUAAAUGGGAGGUAAAUUUCUUCUAAAGCUAAAUACCGGCCAGAGACCGAUAGCGCACAAGUAGAGUGAUCGAAAGAUGAAAAGCACUUUGGAAAGAGAGUUAAAAAGCACGUGAAAUUGUUGAAAGGGAAGCGCCCGCAACCAGACUUUGCGGCAGUGUUCCGCCGGUCUUCUGACCGGUCUACUCGCUGUCGUGAGGCCAUCAUCGUCUGGGACCGCUGGAUAAGACCUUAGGAAUGUAGCUCCCUUCGGGGAGUGUUAUAGCCUCUGGUGAUGCAGCGCGUCUCGGGCGAGGUCCGCGCUUCGGCAAGGAUGAUGGCGUAAUGGUUGUCGGCGGCCCGUCUUGAAACACGGACCAAGGAGUCUAACAUCUAUGCGAGUGUUCGGGUGUCAAACCCCUACGCGUAAUGAAAGUGAACGGAGGUGGGAACUUUUUGUGCACCAUCGACCGAUCCUGAUGUCCUCGGAUGGAUUUGAGUAAGAGCAUAGCUGUUGGGACCCGAAAGAUGGUGAACUAUGCCUGAAUAGGGUGAAGCCAGAGGAAACUCUGGUGGAGGCUCGCAGCGGUUCUGACGUGCAAAUCGAUCGUCAAAUUUGGGUAUAGGGGCGAAAGACUAAUCGAACCAU